CCGUCUAUAUACGUAUAGCAUAUCAAUAAGCGGAGGAAAAGAAACUAACUAGGAUUCCCUCAGUAACGGCGAGUGAAGCGGGAAGAGCUCAAAUUUGAAAUCUUCAAGGUUCUACCUUGACGAAUUGUAGCUUAAAGAAGUGUUUUCUGUUGGAGUUUUGGUAAAAGUUCUUUGGAAUAGGACAUCAUAGAGGGUGAGAAUCCCGUAUUUGACCAUUAUUUCCAACUUUGUGAUACACUUUCAAAGAGUCGGAUUGUUUGGGAAUGCAGUCCAAAAUGGGUGGUAAAUUUCAUCUAAAGCUAAAUACUGGCGAGAGACCGAUAGCGAACAAGUACCGUGAGGGAAAGAUGAAAAGAACUUUGAAAAGAGAGUUAAACAGUACGUGAAAUUGUCAAAAGGGAAGCGUUUGACACCAGUGUUGUUUUCUCGAAAAUCAAUUAAAAAUGGCAGGAUUUUGUGUUGUAUUGACUUUAUCAGCUUUCUGCACUUUUUUCCUGUCUUUUUUAAUGCACUUUUCGUUUAACAAGUCAACAUCAAUUUCUUUUGUUGUAAAAGAGUCAUUGGAAGGUGGCUUUCACUUCGGUGAAAGUGUUUAUAGCCUUUGGCUUCUGCAAUCGGAGAGAUUGAGGUCUGCAGCGUAGAUCCUUCGGGGUUAGAUGCAUUUGUGCUAAGCUAUAGCCUUUCAUAGACAACUUGUUGACUAUGAUCAGUCAUGUAGCUUACUCGCUUAUGUCAUUUUACCUACGCUUAGGAUGUUGACGAUCAGCUGAGCGCG
RNAcentral lists this ribosomal RNA (775 nucleotides) under uncultured Neocallimastigales. RNAcentral describes it as "partial large subunit ribosomal RNA". It matches the Rfam family "Eukaryotic large subunit ribosomal RNA", at positions 25 to 627 of the family's 3401-position model. The record is from RNAcentral. Lineage: Eukaryota; Fungi; Neocallimastigomycota; Neocallimastigomycetes; Neocallimastigales.